RNAcentral lists this ribosomal RNA (485 nucleotides) under uncultured bacterium. RNAcentral describes it as "bacterial SSU rRNA". It matches the Rfam family "Bacterial small subunit ribosomal RNA", at positions 30 to 508 of the family's 1533-position model. The record is from RNAcentral.
AUUGAACGCUGGCGGCAGGCCUAACACAUGCAAGUCGAGCGGUAGAGAGAAGCUUGCUUCUCUUGAGAGCGGCGGACGGGUGAGUAAUGCCUAGGAAUCUGCCUGGUAGUGGGGGAUAACGUUCGGAAACGGACGCUAAUACCGCAUACGUCCUACGGGAGAAAGCAGGGGACCUUCGGGCCUUGCGCUAUCAGAUGAGCCUAGGUCGGAUUAGCUAGUUGGUGAGGUAAAGGCUCACCAAGGCGACGAUCAGUAGCUGGUCUGAGAGGAUGAUCAGCCACAUUGGGACUGAGACACGGCCCAAACUCCUACGGGAGGCAGCAGUGGGGAAUCUUGCGCAAUGGGCGAAAGCCUGACGCAGCCAUGCCGCGUGUGUGAAGAAGGUCUUCGGAUUGUAAAGCACUUUAAGUUGGGAGGAAGGGCAUUAACCUAAUACGUUAGUGUUUUGACGUUACCGACAGAAUAAGCACCGGCUAACUUCGUGC